Molecule: long non-coding RNA, 1586 nt
Organism: Vespula pensylvanica (western yellowjacket)
Lineage: Eukaryota; Metazoa; Arthropoda; Insecta; Hymenoptera; Vespidae
Exons: 2
Source: RefSeq, a predicted model, not a curated record
UCACUCUUCCGGUCGUUAACGACGCAACGCGUGAAGUGUCAAACGGAAGAGCACGUUGCUUCGAGAGUUCGUUUAGGCGCGUAGUACUGUGGUCACACGGUGCUCUUUCCUUGACCCAGAUUUUCCGUCCACGAAGGCGUCCAUUUGGCUGAGAAAAAUCGCGGCAAACUAGCGUACCCGAUUAUUUCAAAGUCGUACGGAAAAUAAGUGGAUGGGGAAAGAAGUAGGAGUAGUAGAAGGAGCAGCAGCAGUCAGUAGUAGUAGGAGGAGAAGGAGAAGAAGGAGGAGAAGGAGGAGGAGGAAGAAAUAACGAAAAUUAGCCUGCUCUGCGUGUGCCAACUUACGAUUUGGUACCCAACGGUCGGAGACUUCUUCUGUACUUCUCAGUCAAGCGUGUCAAGGUCGUACGAAGAGGCACAUAGUAGCGCUCGUCCAGAAUACGCGGCAGGUGUAGCGUGGCACGACCUGCACGCAUUUGCAUCUGAUCUUCUACACAAUUGCAAUGAAGGAGAAAAACAGGUGAAGAAGGAGAGAGAGAGAGAGAGAGAGAGAGAGAGAAGGAGAAAGACAGAGAAAGAAAGAGAGAGAAAGAAAUAACGACGCAACGAGACGAGGUAAGAGAGGUAAAAUUCCCGAGGUUGGUUUGUUAUAAAUCACUCGGUAAAACAUGAUUAGAGUUCGAUCGUUGAAAUUAAAUUGGAAGAAGGAAAGGAGCCAAGGAAUUUCAUGAAUUCGGAACACCGUAUAUUCACAGAUUAACUCGUUUCUAAGAUCUAGUGAUUAUAUCAUUAUUCAUAAAAUAUAAUAUAUAUAUAUAUGAUUAAAGUAAAUAACUCAAUAGUUUUCAGUAUCGAUAACAAUCUAAGAACGUAUUAACUUUAUAUGUUUAUUAAAAGAUUCAUUAGCUAAUACUAUUGAUUUCGAGAAUAGAUACUACUACAUACAAGUGUUACGAGACGACACUGUCUAUGAGUAGACGCAAUGCGUAAGUCACGAGAUUAUUGAUCUUUACCCAAAUGUUCUUGAAUAACUUGGAUAUUUCGUUACCGUAUAAUAUUUAAUAUUUACAUAUAAUAUAUCGCUAUAUAAUGUAAUAGAUAAAUAGAUAUAAGUGUAAUAUAAUAGAUAUGUGUUCUAAGGAAAAACGAGUUAGCAAAGGUUACUUCUUCGAACGUUAAAACUUUUAUAAACUAUAUCUAGAUGCUAAUUUAAAAUAACGACUAUGUCCGACUAUGAAAAUCAUUUCAAGUUGAUCUAACUUCGUGUUUUAUCUACAUGAUACAAUAUAUGAAAAGUCUGCGUCGUGCGGCUCGAAUCGCGAUUGGUCCUCGUAAUACCGCAUGCAUGUGUCUGAUCUAAGGAGAGGCUGCUGUACUUGUGAUAAAUUGAUCUUGGCUCUUUACCAUAUCCUAAGAAUAAUGUUUCGGUGCGUUGUCAUUAGUGAUUAACGUUUUCCGCUUUUAGUUGAAUAAAAUGAAAUUAAAAUAGAAUCGAUAGAUUUAUAUUGCGUAUUUAUGUUCGAUCGUUAUUAGACAGAUAAUAUUUCUCUUACAAUGAGAAAAUAAACCUAGGAAUACACAUACACA